CGCGUAGGCGGUGAGCUAAGUUAGUUGUGAAAUACCAGAGCUUAACUUUGGGGAGUCAACUAAGACUGGCACACUAGAGUACAGUAGAGGGGAGUGGAAUUUCCGGAGUAGCGGUGAAAUGCGUAGAUACCGGAAGGAACACCAGAGGCGAAGGCGACUCUCUGGGCUGUAACUGACGCUGAGGCGCGAAAGCGUGGGUAGCAAACAGGAUUAGAUACCCUGGUAGUCCACGCUGUAAACGAUGAGUACUAGCUGUUUUUUUCGCGAGAAGAAGUAGCGCAGCAAACGCGAUAAGUACUCCGCCUGGGGAAUACGGUCGCAAGAUUAAA
Molecule: ribosomal RNA, 329 nt
Filed under: uncultured bacterium
Lineage: Bacteria
Description: bacterial SSU rRNA
Rfam family: Bacterial small subunit ribosomal RNA
Source: RNAcentral